Molecule: transfer RNA, 74 nt
Filed under: Rhodococcus (subgen. Prescottella) equi
Lineage: Bacteria; Bacillati; Actinomycetota; Actinomycetes; Mycobacteriales; Nocardiaceae
Description: Rhodococcus hoagii tRNA-Ala
Rfam family: tRNA
About the family: Transfer RNA (tRNA) molecules are approximately 80 nucleotides in length. Their secondary structure includes four short double-helical elements and three loops (D, anti-codon, and T loops).
Source: RNAcentral
GGGGCCUUAGCUCAGUGGUGUAGAGCGCUGCCUUUGCAAGGCAGAUGUCAGGAGUUCGAAUCUCCUAGGCUCCA